AUCGCUUCUCGGCCUUUUGGCUAAGAUCAAGUGCAGUAGGAAGAAGGAUCCAGUGUGGAGUCAUAAAUAUAUAAAUUUUAUUAUUUAUCAAUACAUUAAUUUAU
Molecule: small nuclear RNA, 104 nt
Organism: Heterocephalus glaber (naked mole-rat)
Lineage: Eukaryota; Metazoa; Chordata; Mammalia; Rodentia; Bathyergidae
Gene: U2
Rfam family: U2 spliceosomal RNA
About the family: U2 is a small nuclear RNA (snRNA) component of the spliceosome (involved in pre-mRNA splicing). Complementary binding between U2 snRNA (in an area lying towards the 5' end but 3' to hairpin I) and the branchpoint sequence (BPS) of the intron results the bulging out of an unpaired adenosine, on the BPS, which initiates a nucleophilic attack at the intronic 5' splice site, thus starting the first of two transesterification reactions that mediate splicing.
Source: Ensembl